CACCAUCCCCAUUUCCCAUUAUGCACCUCUUUGUGUUGGAUGACAUGUUGACACGCGGUAGUAGCUAGGGAUGGGUACUGACCCCCAUCAUGAGAUUAGUACCUUCUACCUUUUUGAUUUUGGUUCUACACCAAUACAUCCAUCCAUUUUCUGAUCCGCUUAUCCUCACGAGGGUAGUGGGGCAUGCUGGAGCCUGUACCAGCUGUUCGGGCAGUUGACGGGAGACCCCCUGAACUUUGUCAACCAGGCUGCGCAGCCGAAUGAAGUUCACUGUUUUCAUGACUGUGGUCACAAUGUCCUCCAUCCCUGGCACCUUCCCACACUUAGCUUCUUGAUGAAUAAUGGAAUGAUACGUUAUCAGAGGCGUGUGACAAUUAAUUUUUUGCAUUUUCCCCUCCAUUAGUGCAACUAAACCCACUUUUCCUCCACACAUCGCCGGUGCACCGUCUGUAGUUAAUCCUACCGAGUUUUCCCACUGCAAUGCAUUUUUACUUACGGACUUCUCCACCGUAUCAAAAAUGUCCUCUCCCGUCGCGGUGCCAUGCAUUGCAGCCACAUCCAAUAGCUCCUCAGUGAUAGAGAGGUCCAACUUUACGCCUCUAAUAAAAUUUGAUAACUGCGCUCUGUCCGUGUUAUCUGUGCUUUCAUCAACAGCUAAUGAAAAAGCUGUGUAGCUGCGUGUCUCCUCGGACAGCUCUGUUGUAAGAUUUUCUGCUUGUUCCUUCCCUCGGCUGCCGAUGGUGUUUCUUGAUAAACUGACAUUUUUAAAAGUCUGGUCGGGACACACCUGCGCAUCGACCUUCAGCAUGCACUGCUUCAAAACGCUCCCUCUGAAAAAGACUUGGAAGCGUGGGCGAUUUCUUCAGCCGCAAUGAAGCGAGCUUUCACCGCGGCCUCGUUUUUGGCUGUGGAUUUCAAGAAAAAACUCUGCUGCGACCGCAGUUUGCCUUUUAUUCUUGAGCAAUUUUCUUCCGUCUGCAUCAACUUUUCUCUUUCUGGACGUUUUGGGUGAGGAUGAAGCGGUUCGGAAAAUGAAUGAAUGAAUAUUUAUAUCUCAAUUCCACUCGUUGGCAUGGACACUGCCGCGGUUCGUGUAGUCGAAAGGCAUUGUGGGAAAUGUAGAUUUUGGUCAAAGCGCGCUCUUUGUUUUUUGGUAUUUAUUUUUAGACACUCAAAACUUUUAAGCUCUCGCGGGCCAUACAAAAUGACAUGGCAGGCCACAUCUGGCCCACGGGCCUUGAAUUUGACACAUGAUGUAGGACAGCAACCCACUCUGAUGUGUGCUCUCUAUGCUAGCGGGAAUAAAUGGACCAAAUCGGUAAUCCCAUCGUGUGCAAAUUACAGCACGGCACAGAAUCGAAAUGCAAACAAUAAUGCUAGGCCGGGGGUUGGCAACCCGUGGCUCUGGAGCUGCAUGCGGCUCUUUAGUGCUGCCCGAAUGGCAACCUGGAGCUUUUUCAAAAAUGUUUGAAAACGGAAAAAGAUAGGGGAGGGAAAUAUAUUUAUCUUUUAACAUGGUUUCUGUAGGAGGACAAACAUGACACAAACAUUCUUAACGUUUUACAAUGCUGUAAAAAUGUGCCAAAUAAAUUUUAAAUUUCAACAUUUCUGUCAACAAAGAUUUCUGUCAUAGCCUGCGAUACACAUUUCUAUGAGCAGGGUGGGAUGCCAGGCAAGUGGCUGUUGUUUAAAAAAACAAAAAACAGUGUUUCAUGUAGGUUACUGGCAAAGAAUGGGAAUGUGGAGGGCCGACAGAAACAUUUUAAACGGUACAUGUCAGCUAUGAUGGUUAACACGCUGCAAAAGUGCAUCCCAUGCCUCGCGUCAGGUCUUGACGAAGGUAGGUAGGCAUGCAUGUGUAAAUGCGUGCGAAUCCGCGUAUGCGUGCGUGCGGGAACGGGUCGAUCGCGGGAGGUUAGUUGAUCGAAAAGUAGAUCUUCAGUCAAAAAACGUUGCGCACCCCUGCUCUACAGGAUGCAAUGCAGGGAAAAAAAAACAUUUAAUCCUGAAGGCUCAUUGUGUAUUUGCAGCCAAGUUAGUCAUUUUGAUAGUAGGCUAAUAUAGGUAAUAUCGAUACAUACAGCGUAUGUGUUGCCUGCAUUAUCAGGCUCAUAUAAGGCUUUUAUUUUUUUUACGGCUCCAUACAUACAUAUAUAUUUAUUUUUUGGGGUCCAAUAUGGCUCUUUCAAUAUUUUGGGUUGCUGACCCUAGCGCUAGGCUAAUAACAGCAGCCUAUAUAGUCUACUGUUCUUUCAAUCCAGAUGGGUUUUGUCUCCACUCCAUGUCAGGCCGUUCGGGCAAAACAUUUUCUGCAUUCUGAGCAUUUGGCUCACAUAUGUAAGGUCCAACAUCUUGCCAACAAUGUCCUCUUCCUCCAACUCUUCAAAGACCCGGAUCCCCUAAGAUAAGGCGGAAACAUCACUUUCCAAAUUGAUUUCUGACUGGCUUUGUACAAUUUCCAUCAUGAGCCCUGCUAUUGUGUCCCUUGAAGUGACGUCACACUUCCAGGUUUGUCGUACGCCAGGAUCUCACGUCAGGAAAACGAUCACUUUGUCAGAUUUACGAAAUACCAAUUUUUUUUCAUGCUUUUAUUUAAGGUAUUUUGUUUAAUGACAAAAAUGUUUUAUUCUGGAUUUUCGAAAAUUACUUAACUAUUGAAACUUUCAGUGGAAGAGGUCGAUAUAAAUGUGCGAGCUUGCUUUCAACCCUCAAAGAUGAGUUAAUUCCACCACCAUUUGUUUAUUAUAUUGUUUGUUGAUGUCCACAGCAACAAGUUAAGCUAUUUAAAACGUGUAACCAAUUUAGUUUUAUUUAGUUUGAUAGCUUUUGUGAAAACAUCUGUUGCAGUGGAUACACGUGCUGGCCAAUGUGUGUAAAGUGUGUAAGCUGCUUAUUUAUAUUUGUUCUGAGGAGAACACAAGUUUU
This is a long non-coding RNA of Hippocampus zosterae (dwarf seahorse), 2925 nucleotides long. RefSeq lists it as uncharacterized. The transcript is spliced from 2 exons. NCBI's taxonomy places the organism in Eukaryota, Metazoa, Chordata, Actinopteri, Syngnathiformes, Syngnathidae. The record is from RefSeq and is a predicted model, not a curated record.